Mustela erminea (ermine) is the source of this 521-nucleotide long non-coding RNA. RefSeq lists it as uncharacterized. NCBI's taxonomy places the organism in Eukaryota, Metazoa, Chordata, Mammalia, Carnivora, Mustelidae. The transcript has 3 exons. The record is from RefSeq and is a predicted model, not a curated record.
ACUGGGCUUCUACUGCACAUGAAUAAGCUCUACAGGCUGUACUUGGGUCUGGCGUCUCAGCCGGGGAUUUGGAGAGCAUUAGGGGCCCAGCCCCCCAGGGGAUGACUCCUGGCCGCUCACCUUUUCAAAAAGCAGGCCUCCCUUCUAGGCUCCUCUAAUUGGCCUGCACUACUGUGAGAAUGAAUUGGUAAGAAGUUCCGACGUCAGCCCAGGAGUUCACUGUCUGUCUUCUGCUCCUAGAAUGUAAGCUGUAUGGAAGACCUACUGUGCCUGGCUGGAUUCUCAAAGCCUAGAACGAUGCUUGGGACACAGUAACAGUCCAAUAAAUACUUGCUGGUAAAUAAAGGACAGCUAUGUGGACAAGCAAAUUCUCCUUUUUGUGACAUCAGUGCACUUUUUUUCUGACGCUGAUUCCAGUAAGAUAACGCUUUGAGACUGCAACACUCUGAUGUGGGUAAGUGCUGAAUGCUCUGGCUUUCUGAGUUAAACAUUCACUUGCAGCAAGAUGAUGAUCAGAGAGG